Molecule: transfer RNA, 94 nt
Filed under: Candidatus Jordarchaeales archaeon
Lineage: Archaea; Promethearchaeati; Candidatus Jordarchaeia; Candidatus Jordarchaeales
Also listed under: 1 other name
Description: tRNA-Arg
Rfam family: tRNA
About the family: Transfer RNA (tRNA) molecules are approximately 80 nucleotides in length. Their secondary structure includes four short double-helical elements and three loops (D, anti-codon, and T loops).
Source: RNAcentral
GGGUCUGUGGCCUAGCCAGGAUAUGCUAUAAACGCCUAAAGGCGCCGGCCUCCGGAGCCGGAAAGCGAGGGUUCAAAUCCCUCCAGACCCGCCA